This 526-nucleotide ribosomal RNA is filed under the name uncultured bacterium. RNAcentral's name for it is "bacterial SSU rRNA". It matches the Rfam family "Bacterial small subunit ribosomal RNA", at positions 32 to 535 of the family's 1533-position model. The record is from RNAcentral.
AAUCAACGCUGGCGGCGUGCCUCAGACAUGCAAGUCGAACGCGAAAGCCCCCUUCGGGGGGCAAGUAGAGUGGCGCACGGGUGAGUAACACGUAGGUAAUCUACCUUUGGAUGGGGAAUAACCACCGGAAACGGUGGCUAAUACCGCAUAAUGCAGCGGCACCUAAUGGUGACAGUUGUUAAAGCGGGGGAUCGCAAGACCUCGCGUCUAAAGAGGAGCCUGCGGCGGAUUAGCUAGUUGGUAAGGUAACGGCUUACCAAGGCGAUGAUCCGUAGCCGGCCUGAGAGGGCGGUCGGCCACACUGACACUGACAUACGGGUCAGACUCCUACGGGAGGCAGCAGUCGGGAAUUUUGGGCAAUGGGCGAAAGCCUGACCCAGCAACGCCGCGUGAAGGAUGAAAUCCUUCGGGAUGUAAACUUUGCAAGAACGGGAAGAAUAAGCCGGUGUCAACACCACCGGCGAUGACGGUACUGUUUGUAAGCUCCGGCUAACUCCGUGCCAGCGACGCCGGACGUAACGGGUAC